CUUAUAUUCAUUUAAUAUAAAAAAUGACUUUAAUAACCCCAGCAGUCUAGUCACUGGCAGUAUCCAUGGCCAAGAUUUUAUGAAUAUAAUUUGUCUUUGUGGUCACAAAAAUAAUGGAAACCUUUUCAGUAACAAAUAUUGGAGCUCUUGAAUGGAAAGACAUAUCAGCCCCAAGAGACUUUAGCCAACACUUUUCCUAGAAACUCAUUUACAGCCCAUCUGAGGCAGAGUUCAGAGGGACAAGAGCCCCUUUCCUAUGACUUCAGAAAAUAUCUCACAUCAACCAUUGAAUGGCCCAAGUUGGUUCAUAUGUAUAUAUGUGGAACCUGUGGUUGAGAAAUUGUCCCUUCUGAACCAUAAAGACAGAGUGUGGGGAGGCCAGAAUAGGGCAGGGAGUUAAGGUGAAUGCAUUUUUAAUAAUUUCUAAUCCACUCAGACCUUUUGCUAAAACAAAAUACCAAACGCUUCGCAUGAAGUUUGUUCUGUAACUCCACAUCCUCGCAUGUCCAUCACUACUGUGUUUCAUGUACCAUGCUGUGAAGUCAGAUUAAAAGAUGAAAAAAGCAGUUCGGAUCUUAAGGAAAUGAAAUGGCUUCUCUCAGAUGGGAACUUGUAAAGAGUCAGCCCCAUAGCACACUUCAAACAGGGGAAGCACUUUAGAGAAGUCACGUCAAAGAUCCUCUCGUGGCUAAAGGAGCAAAGGAAAAUAAAGGAACUGUCUCUGAGCCCUCAUCCAGUGGCUGAUGGAAGCAGAGGCAGACACUCACAGAUAUACUGAACUGAACUCUGGAACUUAGUUGCAGAGAGGGAGGAAUGAAGAUCAAAGGGGGUCGGUACCAGGCUGGUGAAACCCACAGAAACAGCUGGCCUGUACAAGGGGGAGCAAAUGGACCCCAGACUGCUGUCUGGGGGGCCAGCACAGGACUGAUCCAGACCCCUGAACAUGGAUGUCAAUUAGGAGGCCUCCGCACCCUAUGGGGCCUGUGGUAGUGGAUUAGUAUUUUUCCCUGGUGUAAGAAGGGACUUUGAGAGCCCAUCCCAUGUGAAGGGAUGCACUCUUGGCCUGGACACAUGGGGGAGGGCCUAGGCCCGGCCCAGGAUGAUGUGGUGGACUUUGGGGAGCCCCUGUGGAGGGCCCUACCC
Molecule: long non-coding RNA, 1143 nt
Filed under: Cricetulus griseus (Chinese hamster)
Lineage: Eukaryota; Metazoa; Chordata; Mammalia; Rodentia; Cricetidae
Description: lncRNA (ENSCGRG00015030444.1)
Source: RNAcentral